UGGAUCCAGACUUUGAUUAUGGCUCAGGAUGAACGCUAGCUACAGGCUUAACACAUGCAAGUCGAGAGGAAACGACAUCGAAAGCUUGCUUUUGAUGGGCGUCGACCGGCGCACGGGUGAGUAACGCGUAUCCAACCUGCCCAUCACUUGGGGAUAACCUUGCGAAAGUAAGACUAAUACCCAAUGAUAUCUCUAGAAGACAUCUGAAGGAGAUUAAAGAUUUAUCGGUGAUGGAUGGGGAUGCGUCUGAUUAGCUUGUUGGCGGGGUAACGGCCCACCAAGGCGACGAUCAGUAGGGGUUCUGAGAGGAAGGUCCCCCACAUUGGAACUGAGACACGGUCCAAACUCCUACGGGAGGCAGCAGUGAGGAAUAUUGGUCAAUGGACGAGAGUCUGAACCAGCCAAGUAGCGUGCAGGAAGACGGCCCUAUGGGUUGUAAACUGCUUUUAUAAGGGAAUAAAGUGAGUCUCGUGAGACUUUUUGCAUGUACCUUAUGAAUAAGGACCGGCUAAUUCCGUGCCAGCAGCCGCGGUAAUACGGAAGGUCCGGGCGUUAUCCGGAUUUAUUGGGUUUAAAGGGAGCGUAGGCCGGAGAUUAAGCGUGUUGUGAAAUGUAGAUGCUCAACAUCUGAACUGCAGCGCGAACUGGUUUCCUUGAGUACGCACAAAGUGGGCGGAAUUCGUGGUGUAGCGGUGAAAUGCUUAGAUAUCACGAAGAACUCCGAUUGCGAAGGCAGCUCACUGGAGCGCAACUGACGCUGAAGCUCGAAAGUGCGGGUAUCGAACAGGAUUAGAUACCCUGGUAGUCCGCACGGUAAACGAUGGAUGCCCGCUGUUGGUCUGAAUAGGUCAGCGGCCAAGCGAAAGCAUUAAGCAUCCCACCUGGGGAGUACGCCGGCAACGGUGCAACUCAAAUGAAUUGACGGA
This 926-nucleotide ribosomal RNA is filed under the name uncultured Bacteroidota bacterium. RNAcentral's name for it is "bacterial SSU rRNA". It matches the Rfam family "Bacterial small subunit ribosomal RNA", at positions 1 to 917 of the family's 1533-position model. Lineage: Bacteria; Pseudomonadati; Bacteroidota. The record is from RNAcentral.